RNAcentral lists this long non-coding RNA (1412 nucleotides) under Chinchilla lanigera (long-tailed chinchilla). RNAcentral describes it as "lncRNA (ENSCLAG00000023937.1)". The record is from RNAcentral. Lineage: Eukaryota; Metazoa; Chordata; Mammalia; Rodentia; Chinchillidae.
GACAGCAUGCUUCAAAUGAGAGUCUUUGGCCCAUCAGUGCUGCAGCCAAUGGUACUGGAUAGAGCUGACAUUUAAUUGGAAUCUCACUGGAUAAGGAAUGCACAGGAAAACGAGGUUUGAAGUGGUGCUGCUGCUCGGUGAUGCACUCGUGGCUGGCUGACGUCUGGGUGCGUCUGCUCCUCUCGCCACCUGCAGUAAGGACGAGCACAUUCCUCACGUUUCUCUGGCACUGCGUGGUGGCGUGCGAAUGACUUCCGGCUGCAGAAGGGGAAGGGGACGACGCAUGGGCUCUACAGACAGGUGAGGACUUCCACUUUCCACGUCCCCGCUGGAUUUUGCCAUGCAUGUCCUUCUUGGAGAAGAGGAUUUGGAGGAUGCGGCUUCCAUGACCCAGACCCUGACAUGUUCUUGGGACACCCCAAGCCUCAGUACAGAUCAGCAACACUUCCCACAGCUCAGUGGCAGGUGGACCCCACGCCGUGGCUUCCCUGGAGACCAGUCUGUGUGGCUACUGCAUCCUGGGGACAGUGUUCUGCUCUUCCUGCCUGGGGUCCUGAUGUUCACUUCAGAAAUGAUCCCGUUGUCACCAUUCUUCGUGGAACUCAGCCCAAAAUAGCGUGAGUGAACUUCACCCACUCUGCAGAAUGAAAGCCGCUUUUCUCAUUCACAUCUUAUUAGAGACCCGUGUUUGAAAUUUGUUAUGCUUCUAUUUGUGUGGAGAAGAAAGUAUAUUUUAAAAGAACAUUAUAAUUAAUUAUGUAAAGGUAUUAAAAUGUAAUUUCCUUUUUAAUAUGUUAGGUAAUUUGAAGUAUUAUAUUAGCUGAUAACUGUAAAGUACAUAAGAUUUUUGUAGACUGAUAUGCUAUCAUAUUUUGUGCAUCUUUUUAAAAGUUGUAGUUGAAAAUCAUAAAUUCUUCUGAGGUUAUUUUCUGCAUAUUUUUGCAUAAAUUUUUUAAUAGUCAUGUUUUUGUGUUAUUUCAUAUUUAUACUUUAUGUGCUAUAAAUAUGAUCAAAACAAUAAAACCUACUAAAUUAACUUAAAAAUAAUGAUCAAACUGAGAGAUGACUGAGAAAGUAUGCAUUAAAAUUAUUUAUAUAAUUUAAUUACAAGCCCAGCUCUCGCCCAAGUGUUUCCUAUAGUGGCUGUGCUAAUACAUAUCUAUCUGCCGACACAUAACUGGCUAACAUUCAGAACUGAGCUAGCAAAUGAGCAAGAAGUCACCAUAUCUUCAAUGUAUAGGGUUUGACUACUUUGGAGAAAAAUCUACUGGUUCAAAAAUAAUUUUGUUAUAUCAUAAUGAUAAAGUCCGUUUUAAAACUCUGAUUUCAGUCUUUUUGAAAUUACUCUAUAGUUUUAAAAUAUUUGGUGCUAUAAUAAUAUGUAAUUAACAGUAAUAAUCUCCUUUAAAAAG